UACGAAGGGGGGCUAGCGUUGUUCGGAAUCACUGGGCGUAAAGCGCACGUAGGCGGAUUGUUAAGUCGGGGGUGAAAUCCUGAGGCUCAACCUCAGAACUGCCUUCGAUACUGGCAAUCUCGAGUCCGGAAGAGGUUGGUGGAACAGCUAGUGUAGAGGUGAAAUUCGUAGAUAUUAGCUAGAACACCCGUGGCGAAGGCGGUUCUCUGGGACGGUACUGACGCUGAGACGCGAAAGCGUGGGGAGCGAACAGG
RNAcentral lists this ribosomal RNA (254 nucleotides) under uncultured bacterium. RNAcentral describes it as "partial 16S ribosomal RNA". It matches the Rfam family "Bacterial small subunit ribosomal RNA", at positions 524 to 776 of the family's 1533-position model. The record is from RNAcentral.